RNAcentral lists this unclassified non-coding RNA (290 nucleotides) under uncultured fungus. RNAcentral's name for it is "partial contains 5.8S rRNA, ITS2 and 28S rRNA". It matches the Rfam family "Eukaryotic large subunit ribosomal RNA", at positions 668 to 961 of the family's 3401-position model. The record is from RNAcentral. Lineage: Eukaryota; Fungi.
AAGGAGUCUAACAAAUAUGCGAGCAUUAGAGUGGCAAACUCGAGAUGCGCAACGAACGUAAGAGUCUGCGAGCCUGCAAAGGCGCAGCAGAGACCGGCCCUGAUAUAUUUUGACGGGACCGAGUAAGAGCAGAUUUGUUGGGACCCGAAAGGCGGUGAACUAUGCCUGACUAGGGCGAAGCCAGAGGAAACUCUGGUGGAGGCUCGUAGCCGUUCUGACGUGCAAAUCGAUGGUCAAAGUUGGGUAUAGGGGCGAAAGACUAAUCGAACCGCCUAGUAGCUGGUUCCCUC